GGGGAUGUAGCUCAGCUGGGAGAGCACCUGCCUUGCAAGCAGAAGGCCGGCGGAUCGUACCCGCCCAUCUCCACCA
Molecule: transfer RNA, 76 nt
Filed under: Variovorax sp. JS1663
Lineage: Bacteria; Pseudomonadati; Pseudomonadota; Betaproteobacteria; Burkholderiales; Comamonadaceae
Description: tRNA-Ala
Rfam family: tRNA
About the family: Transfer RNA (tRNA) molecules are approximately 80 nucleotides in length. Their secondary structure includes four short double-helical elements and three loops (D, anti-codon, and T loops). Further hydrogen bonds mediate the characteristic L-shaped molecular structure. tRNAs have two regions of fundamental functional importance: the anti-codon, which is responsible for specific mRNA codon recognition, and the 3' end, to which the tRNAs corresponding amino acid is attached (by aminoacyl-tRNA synthetases). tRNAs cope with the degeneracy of the genetic code in two manners: having more than one tRNA (with a specific anti-codon) for a particular amino acid; and 'wobble' base-pairing, i.e. permitting non-standard base-pairing at the 3rd anti-codon position.
Source: RNAcentral